RNAcentral lists this ribosomal RNA (252 nucleotides) under uncultured bacterium. RNAcentral describes it as "partial 16S ribosomal RNA". It matches the Rfam family "Bacterial small subunit ribosomal RNA", at positions 524 to 776 of the family's 1533-position model. The record is from RNAcentral.
UACGGGGGGGCAAGCGUUGUUCGGAAUUACUGGGCGUAAAGGGCUCGUAGGCGGCCAACUAAGUCAGACGUGAAAUCCCUAGGCUCAACCUAGGAACUGCGUCUGAUACUGGAUGGCUUGAAUCCGGGAGAGGGAUGCAGAAUUCCAGGUGUAGCGGUGAAAUGCGUAGAUAUCUGGAGGAAUACCGGUGGCGAAGGCGGCAUCCUGGACCGGCAUUGACGCUGAGGAGCGAAAGCCAGGGGAGCAAACGGG